UAAUUGGCUAUACCCCAGUACAAAAUGGUGUUAAGAAACAAUAAAAAUUUUUAAAAAGAAAAGGUACCUCCUGCAAGCCAGGCACUGUGCUGAGUUUAUUGAACUCCAGUAGUUGUUAUAAAUGUUCCUUGAAAGGUCACCUCCCCUGCGAGGCCUUCCCUGAUCAUUCUGGUCGAAGUGCUACUCAUGUUCACAUUAUUGCCCUCACAGACGUGUCCCUCUCUGAAAUGUUCUUAUUUCUUUUUCUUAUUUUGGCCACAUGGUGAGGCUUGUAGGAUCUUAGUGCCUUGACCAGGGAUUGAACCUAGGCCCUCAGCAAUGAGAACACAGAGUUCCAACCACUGGACCACCAGGGAGGUCCCAUUAAUGUUCUUAUUUCUUCAUCUGCUGGUUAAACGACAUGUGUCUUCCACCAUUGGUCAUCUCCAGCGCCUGAUUCAAUGUCUGGUACACUGUUGCUGCAUUAAUUCCUCAGCCCCUCUUCUGUGUAAGAGCAAGGUGGGAGAGGCAAGUCCCUUGAUCCCCAGACCUGGUCUGCCAGCACCCAAGAUGGGAACCAGAAAUCUUCAGAGGCUGGAGAUCUGUGCAAAGCACAGAGGCUUGGGCUCAGGAGAGGCCAGUUUCGAGCCUGGAUGCAAGGGUAGGGUGGCUGCAAGCUGGACUCAGCACUGGGGCUGCUGGGGGCUGGGAAGUCAACCUUCUCUCCGUGCCUGGGGUUGA
RNAcentral lists this long non-coding RNA (720 nucleotides) under Ovis aries (sheep). RNAcentral describes it as "lncRNA (ENSOARG00000025292.1)". The record is from RNAcentral. Lineage: Eukaryota; Metazoa; Chordata; Mammalia; Artiodactyla; Bovidae.